RNAcentral lists this ribosomal RNA (450 nucleotides) under uncultured marine bacterium 311. Its description in RNAcentral is "bacterial SSU rRNA". It matches the Rfam family "Bacterial small subunit ribosomal RNA", at positions 1084 to 1532 of the family's 1533-position model. The record is from RNAcentral.
GUNNUCNGUACGAGCGCACCCCCUAUCCUUAUUUGCCAGCGCGUAAUGGCGGGGACUAUAAGGAGACUGCCGGUCAUAAACCGGAGGAAGGCGGGGACGACGUCAAGUCAUCAUGGCCCUUAUGGGUAGGGCUACACACGUGCUACAAUGGGUGGUACAGAGGGUCGCCAAAGCGCGAGCUGGAGCCAAACCCUUAAAACCAUUCGUAGUCCGGAUUGGAGUCUGCAACUCGACUCCAUGAAGUCGGAAUCGCUAGUAAUCGCGAAUCAGAAUGUCGCGGUGAAUACGUUCUCGGGCCUUGUACACACCGCCCGUCACAUCAUGGAAGUGGGUUGCACCAGAAGUGGUUAGUCUAACCUUCGGGAAGACGAUCACCACGGUGUGAUUCAUGACUGGGAUGAAGUCGUAACAAGGUAGCCCUAGGGGAACCUGGGGCUGGAUCACCUCCUU